UGAAGAAAACUUUCUAGCAGCUUUAUCCUGGUGAGCCUUUAUCUCUUUAAUAAUGAUUUAAACCUGGCAGCAGCAGCAUCCUGACUCUCAAAAACCCAGGGAUAUUUUCUCCCCGGCCAUGGAACCAUGAAGAAUAAUUUUAGAAUAUUCUGAAAUGAUCUCAUCAAUGGGGAUGUGAUAUUCAGUAUUCAUCUGAAAUCCUCUACCCAUCUGCUUCCUUCUAGAGAAACACGGGAGAAAAAAACAAGGAAACCAAUAAAGUUGUUACAAAUGAACAGGGGGAAGGGGGGGAGGACAGAGAAAAGGAAAGAGAAAGUGAAAAAGGAAACAGAUGGAAAUCAAGCUGUUGGAGAAUUUUGCCUGGACAAGGCAGGAGAAUGGACACCAGUCGCCCUCAGAAAACCACAAAUCUCCCACGUUUGCCACCAAGGUUUACUGGGCACCUUUUCUACAGGUGCAGGGGAGCAGCAGAGAGCCCUGACCACAGCCUGGCUGGAGGAACCGCUGUCAUGUAAGGAAGCCCAAGACAGACCCUGGAGGCAGCCCUGCAUGAACUGAAAGUGAGUGAGAGAGAGCAAGAGAGAGAUCCCAGCCAUCACCACCGAGGUUCCAGACCUGAGAUAGGCCGUCGUGGACACUCCAAUCUCAGCUGUCAUCUGACUCCAGCCUCAUGAGGAUCUCCAGCUGAAGCCACAUGGAACAGAAGAGCCAUCCAGUCAAGUGUUGCUCAAAUUUCUGGCCUGCAGAAUUGUGAGCAAAUAAAGUUUGCUGUCUUGA
Long non-coding RNA from Acinonyx jubatus (cheetah), 777 nucleotides. RefSeq lists it as uncharacterized. Lineage: Eukaryota; Metazoa; Chordata; Mammalia; Carnivora; Felidae. The transcript is spliced from 2 exons. The record is from RefSeq and is a predicted model, not a curated record.